Long non-coding RNA from Hippocampus zosterae (dwarf seahorse), 2107 nucleotides. RefSeq lists it as uncharacterized. Lineage: Eukaryota; Metazoa; Chordata; Actinopteri; Syngnathiformes; Syngnathidae. The transcript has 4 exons. The record is from RefSeq and is a predicted model, not a curated record.
CUGGAGGAGAGGGAGAAGGUGGAUGAACGAGGAUGGAAGAGGACGCUUUACCUGGGCCUCAUGCCCGAAAAACACCCUCGUGGGAAAUUCAAGUCGACUGUUGGUCAGGGACUUUACAGUCCGGGCUUACAAUUAGAUGAUAAGUGGUAACCUGUGCGGUUAAAGCAAUCCGAUGUUUUGGGAGUCUGUUUCUGUCUUUGGUUAUCUAGCUGUAUGAGUGUUAAAUUCCUGUCAUAAAGCUAGAUAACCGAAUGUAGGAAUGACUCCCGUAAUGAACGUUGAGGGAGAAAGCAAGAAAGAGCGAAGACUGGCCUUCACCUCAAAGAGUUUCAAUUAGCGCCGUUCUUCUUGAAAAGACGGUGGAGGCAUUGUUCAGCGAAAAAGAGGACGAGGUCGUCGCGCUUCCUCCGCCCUCUCUUCUUUUUGCCCAGAAGCCUUGGGAUGCCAUCUGCCCUGCCAGUGACAGACACUGCGCCUAUGCCAGGAGGCAGACAAAGACCUUGGCCGAUCUCGGAUCCUGGCUGCGGGCGGAGGAGCCAUCUUGGGCGAUCUUGCAGUGAUAUUUAAAAUGGCUGGGCUGACAUACAAGGUUGAAGAUGACAAGCAGUGGAAUAACUCCAGCCUGCACAUAUUUGCGACCAAAGUCACCACACCAUUUUUUUUCAAAGAUACCUCAACUCAACCCACGAUGUUUUUUUCAAAAUAAAACGUUACUACACGUUCUUAUGUAAAAUGUGUUCAUCUUAAAUUCUGCAAAUAACCCCCCCCCCCCCUCCCCGCAAAACCUGUGUACAAUUUGUUUUCAAUGUGAUUUGUUUCAAGAACAUUGUAAAAUAAAUAAAACUCUUCUUGUAAUCCCCCCGCCCCCCUCUUCCGUCCCAAAUGAUGAAUUCUUCUGUAUAUUGACAUGAACAACAAAAUGAAAUAAACGCACAACGGUCUAAAUCGUGUUUAGGGAAAAGGGAAUGCACACGCAGUGCUUUCGUGUUGAUAGCAAUGUAUUUAAUGAUUUCGUUCAUCGAAAGAAGCUGGUAUGAGGAUAUGCGCUAUACAAGCUUUGCUUGCGCUUUUUUAUUUGGGGGGGGGGAGCCCAUUAAGUGCAUCUGACCCUGCACAAUUAGCUACAGCUGCACCUGUGAUUAAAAUGGGUUCAACAUCUUCAUGUUCGUUUAUGAAUUUAUUUUGAAGCAGGGUUGAGCAGAAAAGGAGGAAGGUUCGAUCGAAUGACAUGGCUGACGCCUUGUUUGCACCCAAACAAACAGCAUAUGAAGAGACCCGCACACAAACGCGCGCGGGUACGUGCAGACGGGUCAACGCGGGAUUAGACUGCAUCCGUUUUAAAGGAAUGAAAAACGAAUGCGAUGCAGGCAUUAACAGGAGCCCGUUCGGGUACCUCGAAGGCCCAAACGAAUGUGCAGAAACGAAUCUCCUCACGUCGGGGCUCAGUGGAUUAUUAGAUAAUUUUCAUAAAGAAUGAUUAUUCAAAUAAAAAUGGCUUGCACGAUUAAAAUUAAAAUGUCAACAGUUUUCAUAUGUGAAAAAUUGAAAACGUUCUUAAAUGUUGACAUUUUACAUGCAAUCGAUCCACUGAAACGAAAUAUACAAAACAUAAAGGUAUCGUGGAAAGUAGCACAGACGCAUCAUCUACGACAAUACAAGGUAAUAUAAUUUAAUAUACCGGUAACGGAAUACAGUGUAAUGCAUGUGCCUAGCAGCCUUGCCCCCCCACGACUAUUUUAUAGUGAGGAGAGCAGUACAGGGACUUCAUCACAUAAAACAAUACCAACCUGUAUAAAACUAAAUUCAAGUGAAAACAAGUGACAAAAGAUUUUUUGACAAAUUUCGACUUCCUUGCACAAAUAUACACAAAUAAAUGUGGACAUUAAUUCAAUGAAUCGUAAAAUGAGAUGGCAAAUGUGAAAAAAUACCCCCCCCCCGCACCCCCAAUCGAAAAGCUUUUUAGUGAUUCCGUGAGGGUGGGGAGUUGUGCAUGUUUUCGUUGUGUCUCAAUAAUUGUAGCGACUCCUUUCUGGUUGAAUGCAAAGCAAUUAAUGAAACCAGCCUCUGGAAUGUUGAAAUAAGCACAUUAAUAAAAUUGCUCCACUGG